CCUACGGGUGGCUGCAGUGGGGAAUAUUGGACAAUGGGCGAAAGCCUGAUCCAGCCAUGCCGCGUGUGUGAAGAAGGCCUUCGGGUUGUAAAGCACUUUCAGUGGGGAAGAAAGCCUUGGGGCUAAUACCCUCGAGGAAGGACAUCACCCACAGAAGAAGCACCGGCUAACUCCGUGCCAGCAGCCGCGGUAAUACGGAGGGUGCGAGCGUUAAUCGGAAUUACUGGGCGUAAAGCGCGCGUAGGCGGUCUGAUAAGCCGGUUGUGAAAGCCCCGGGCUCAACCUGGGAACGGCAUCCGGAACUGUCAGGAUAGAGUGCGGGAGAGGAAAGGAGAAUUCCCGGUGUAGGGGUGAAAUGCGUAGAGAUCGGAAGGAAUACCAGUGGCGAAGGCGGCCUUCUGGACUGACACUGACGCUGAGGUGCGAAAGCGUGGGUAGCAAACAGGAUUAGAUACCCGAGUAGUC
Molecule: ribosomal RNA, 465 nt
Filed under: Vreelandella stevensii
Lineage: Bacteria; Pseudomonadati; Pseudomonadota; Gammaproteobacteria; Oceanospirillales; Halomonadaceae
Description: partial 16S ribosomal RNA
Rfam family: Bacterial small subunit ribosomal RNA
Source: RNAcentral